GCGCGCGGCGGCGGCCGCCUCACGGGGUUCGGGCUGUGUGUACUUGCUUGCACGGGCCCGCGCCGUCCGAGCUGGGCGGUCUGGCGGGUUUUGACUGUUCCGCGUCCUGAGGCGCAGAGGAGAAAGUAUUUGGCGGGCGCGGUUAAUUUAUUCCUGGGCAGAAGGGGUGAGGGAGGCGGAGGUGAGGAGUCUGGGCGUCAGAGACCCGCGAGGACUUGAAGUAGCCGCGGCGGCGUCCGGAGUGGCGCCGGGGUCCCGCGGACGUGCAGUUGCAUCCUGAGAGGAGGAGUGACCGCCCGAGUCGCCCUCCUUCCUUUGUGUCUGGGUUGGAGUUCUCACCUCGGUGCCCUGGAACUGCGCAGGCCACCUGCGGGGUGACGCCUACUUCUCCGCGGGUCGGAGGUCCCCGGGGGUCUUCUGGUAACUCCGGAUGCGGAGGCCCAGCUCAUGGUUGACAGCUCAAAGAGAGAAAAAUUUGAGGGACGAUGGAUGCAAAAGCUCGAAAUUGUUUACUUCAACACAGAGAAGCCCUGGAAAGGGACAUCAAAACAUCGUACAUCAUGGAUCACAUGAUUAGUAAUGGAGUUUUAACAGUAUCAGAGGAGGAAAAAGUAAAAAAUGAGCCCACCCAACAGCAACGAGCAGCUAUGCUAAUUAAAAUGAUACUUAAAAAAGAUAACUAUUCCUACGUAUCAUUCUACAAUGCUCUACUACAUGAAGGGUAUAAAGAUCUUGCUGCCCUUCUCCAUGCUGGCAUUCCUGUUAUCUCUUCUUCCAAUGGCAAAGAUUCAGUUGGUGGAAUAACUUCAUACGUAAGGACAGUCCUGUGUGAAGGUGGAGUACCACAGAGGCCCGUUGUUUUUGUUACUAGGAAGAAGCUGGUGCAUGCAAUUCAGCAGAAGCUCUUCAAACUGAGUGGUGAACCAGGAUGGGUCACCAUAUAUGGAAUGGCCGGUUGUGGGAAGUCUGUAUUAGCUGCAGAAGCUGUUCGAGAUCAUUCUCUCUUAGAAGUUUGUUUCCCAGGGGGUGUGCAUUGGGUUUCAGUUGGGAAGCAAGACAAAUCUGGGCUUCUGAUGAAACUGCAGAAUCUUUGCACACGGUUGGAUCAGGAUGAGAGUUUCUCCCAGAGGCUUCCACUUAAUAUUGAAGAGGCUAAAGACCGUCUCCGCAUUCUGAUGCUGCGCAAGCAUCCAAGGUCUCUAUUGAUCUUGGAUGAUAUUUGGGAUCCUUGGGUGUUAAAAGCUUUUGACAAUCAGUGUCAGAUUCUUCUUACAACCAGAGACAAGAGUGUUACAGACUCAGUAAUGGGUCCUAAAUAUGUAGUCCCUGUGGAGAGUGGCUUAGGAAAAGAAAAAGGACUUGAAAUUUUAUCCCUUUUUGUUAAUAUGAAGAAAGCAGAUUUGCCAGAACAAGCUCACAGUAUUAUAAAAGAGUGUAAAGGUUCUCCUCUUGUAGUGUCUUUAAUUGGUGCACUUUUACGUGAUUUUCCCAACCGCUGGGAGUACUACCUCAAGCAGCUUCAAAAUAAGCAAUUUAAGAGGAUAAGGAAAUCUUCAUCUUACGAUUAUGAGGCUCUGGAUGAAGCCAUGUCUAUAAGCGUUGAAAUGCUAAGAGAAGACAUCAAAGAUUAUUAUACAGAUCUUUCCAUCCUUCAGAAGGAUGUUAAGGUACCUACAAAGGUGUUAUGUAUUCUCUGGGACAUGGAAACUGAAGAAGUUGAAGAUAUACUGCAGGAGUUUGUUAAUAAGUCUCUCUUAUUCUGUGAUCGGAAUGGAAAAUCAUUUCUUUAUUAUCUACAUGAUCUUCAAGUAGAUUUCCUUACAGAGAAGAAUCGCAGCCAGCUUCAGGAUCUACACAAGAAGAUAAUCACUCAGUUCCAGAGACAUCGCCGGCUACAUACUCUUUCACCAGAUCAAGAGGACUGCAUGUAUUGGUACAAUUUUCUGGCCUAUCACAUGGCCAGUGCUAAUAUGCACAAAGAACUAUGUGCUUUAAUGUUUUCCCUGGAUUGGAUUAAAGCAAAAACAGAACUUGUAGGCCCUGCUCAUCUGAUUCAUGAAUUUGUGGAAUACAGGCAUAUGUUGGAUGAAAAGGAUGGUACUGUCUGUGAGAAUUUCCAGGAGUUUUUAUCUUUAAAUGGACAUCUUCUUGGACGACAGCCAUUUCCUAAUAUUGUACAACUGGGUCUCUGUGAACUGGAAACUUCAGAAGUUUAUCAGCAAGCUAAGCUGCAGGCCAAGCAGGAGGUCGAUAAUGGAAUGCUUUACCUGGAGUGGAUAAACAAAAAAAACAUCAAGAAUCUCUCCCGCUUAGUUGUCUGCCCCCAUACAGAUGCUGUUUACCAUGCUUGUUUUUCUGAGGAUGGUCAAAGAAUAGCUUCUUGUGGAGCUGAUAAAACCUUACAGGUAUUUAAAGCUGAAACAGGAGAGAAACUUCUAGAGAUCAAGGCUCAUGAGGAUGAAGUGCUUUGCUGUGCAUUCUCUGCAGAUGACAAAUUUAUAGCAACCUGUUCAGUGGAUAAAAAAGUGAAGAUUUGGAAUUCUAUGACUGGGGAACUAGUGCACACCUAUGAUGAGCACUCAGAGCAAGUCAAUUGCUGCCACUUCACCAACAACAGUAAUCACCUUCUCUUAGCCACUGGUUCAAGUGACUGCUUCCUCAAACUCUGGGAUCUGAAUCAAAAAGAAUGUCGAAAUACCAUGUUUGGCCAUACAAAUUCAGUCAAUCACUGCAGAUUUUCACCAGAUGAUAAGCUUUUGGCUAGUUGUUCAGCUGAUGGAACAUUAAAGCUUUGGGAUGUGAAAUCAGCAAACGAGAGGAAAAGCAUUAAUGUGAAGCACUUCUUCCUAAAUUCAGAGGAACCUCAAGAGGAUAUGGAAGUGAUAGUGAAAUGCUGUUCGUGGUCUGCUGAUGGUGCUAGGAUAAUGGUGGCAGCAAAAAAUAAAGUCUUUCUUUUCGACAUUCAUACCAGUGGCCUUUUGGCAGAAAUCCACACAGGCCAUCAUAGCACUGUCCAGUACUGUGACUUCUCUCCCCAUAACCAUUUGGCAUUGGUGGCUUUGUCCCAGUACUGUGUGGAGUUGUGGAAUGUGGACUCAUGUUUGAAAGUAGCUGACUGCAGAGGACAUUUAAGUUGGGUUCAUUGUGUGAUGUUUUCUCCUGAUGGAUCAUCGUUUUUGACGUCUUCUGAUGACCAGACAAUCAGGCUCUGGGAGACAAAGAAAGUAUGUAAGAACUCUGCUAUAGUGUUAAAGCAAGAAAUAGAUGUUGUGUUUCAAGAAAAUGAAGUGAUGGUUCUUGCAGUUGACAAUAUAAGACGUCUGCAACUCAUUAAUGGAAAAACAGGUCAGAUUGAUUAUCUGACUGAAGCUCAUGUUAGUUGCUGUUGCUUAAGUCCACAUCUUCAGUACGUUGCAUUCGGAGGCGAAGAUGGAGCCAUUCAGAUUUUAGAACUUCUAAACAACAGAGUCUUCCAAUCAAAGAUUGGGCACAAGAACACUGUACGGCACAUUCAGUUCACAGCUGAUGGAAGGAAUCUUAUUUCAAGCUCUGAUGAUUGUACAAUUCAGAUAUGGAAUUGGCAAUCAGAGGAAUAUGUCUUUCUGCAAGCCCAUCAGGAAGCAGUGAAAGACUUUAAACUCUUGAAAAAUUCAAGACUGCUUUCCUGGUCAUUUGAUGGAACAGUGAAGGUGUGGAAUUUUAUUACUGGAAGAAUAGAAAAGGACUUUGUCUGUCACCAGGAUACAGUGCUUUCUUGUGAUAUUUCUCCUGAUGCUACCAAGUUUUCUUCUACCUCUGCUGACAAGACUGCAAAAAUUUGGAGUUUUGAACUCAUUUCCCCUCUUCAUGAAUUGAGAGGCCACAAAGGCUGUGUGCGCUGCUCUGCUUUCUCUGUGGACAGUACCCUGCUGGCAACUGGAGAUGACAACGGAGAAAUCAGGAUCUGGAAUGUCUCAAACGGUGAGCUGCUUCAUUUGUGUGCUCCGAUUUCAGUAGAAGAAGGAGCUGCUACUCAUGGAGGCUGGGUAACCGACCUUUGCUUUUCUCCAAAUAGCAAAAUGCUCGUUUCUGCUGGAGGGUAUCUUAAGGAUGGUUUCAGCCCUUUGGAGUUCAAAGCCCUAGGCCUCUGCGUGUCAGGCUGGGAGUGCCCCGAGAUUACUUCAGCAUGUGUUUUGGAGAGUAGCAAAUAUACCUGGAUCCAGCAGAGGGGUGAUCUUCUGAAAGUCACAGGAAAGAAUGUCCCCAGGAAUGGACAGCAGCCUUUUGCCCGUGACAAGGCCACACAAACAGAGCAGUCUUCCUCCUGGGCUGGAUAGGAAGCCUGCUCUGGGACUGCUCGGCGUGCAAGGCACCGCAAGGACAGGAGGACGUCAAGAUGGCAGAGUGGUAGGACCAUGAACUUGCCUCUCCUCACGUCUACAACGAAACCACAACUGAAUGCUAAACAACCAUCGGAAAAAGACUGGAACCUAGCACAAAAGAUCUGCAACUGGAAACAUAAAGAGGGAACCACGACAGGAUGGUAGGAGGGCCGUGGUCGCGAUACAAUUGGGUCCUAUACGCCUCGGGUGGGUGACCCACAGCUGAAGAUUUGUUAACUCACAGAAGCCCUCCCACAGGAGUGAAAGCUCUGAGUCCCACGUCAGGCUCCCCAGCCCGGGUCCUGGCACCGGGAAGAGGAGAUCCCAGGACAUCUGGUUUUGAAGGCCAGCAGGGCUUGGCUCCAGGAGCCUCACAGGACAGGGGGAAACGGAGACUCCAUUGGCUUGGGAAGCGUACAUGGAAACUCACGUGCACCAGGUCCAAGGGCAGAGGCAGUGAUUUCAUAGGAACCUGGGCCAGACCUGCCUGCUGGAUUUGUAGGUUCCUCUGGGGAUCUGGGGGACGGCUAUAGCUCACUUAGGGGACAUAAAAGCUGGUGGUAGAUGUUCUGGGAGUAUUAAUCUACAUGAGCUUUCCUGGAGGCUGACAUCUUGAUUGGAUCAUUAGAAUCAAGAACUAGACCCACCCAACAGCCUGUAGGGAAGCCUCAGGCCAAACAACAUACAGGGUGGGAACACAGCCACACCCAUCAGCAGACUUCCUAAGCCACAAAGGCCUCUAGACACAUCCAGAGGUCCAGGACCAAGCUUCACCCAGCAGUGGGCAGGCACUGGUUCCUUCAGCCAGGAAACCUGCAUAAGCCUCUAGUCCAGCCUCAUCCACCAGGGGCAGAUACUAGAAAUAAGAAAACAAUAAUCCCAAAGCCUAUGGAAGGAAUCCAGAAACACGCAGAAAGAUAGACGAUAUGAGGUGGCAAAGGAAUAUCUCCCAGGCCAAGGCACAAGAUAAAAUCUCAGAAGAAGAAAUAAGUGAUGAGGAGAUAGGUAAUUUAUCUGAGAAAGAGUUUAAAGUAAUGAUGGCCAAGAUGUUCAGAGAACUCAAAAGGAGUAUAGAUGCACAGAGUGAAGUUUUUGCAAAAAGUUGGAAAACAUAAAGAAUACCCAAACAGAGUGAAGAAUAAAAUCACUGAAAUGAACAAUACACUAGAAGGAGCCAAGAACAGACUAAAUGAGGCAGAAGAACGGAUCACUGAGCUAGAAGACAGAUUAGUGGAAAUCACUACUUCAAAACAGAUAAAAGAAAAAAGAAUAAGAAAUGAGAAUAGUUUAAAAGAACUCUGGGACAACAUGAAGUGCACUAAUAUUCGAAUUAUAGUGGUCCUAGAAAGAAAAGAGACAGAGGACCUGAGAAUAUUUUUGGAGAAAUAAUCACUGAAAACUUCCCCAACUUGGGAAAGGAAACAGGCACCAAGUCCAGGAAGUACAGAGAGUACCACACAGAAUUAACCCCAAGAGGAACACACCAACGCACGUAGUCAUCCAAUUGACAACAAUUAUGUAUAAGGAGAAAAUAUUAAAAUUAGCAAGAGAAAAGCAACAAAUAACAUACAAGGGAACUCCCAUAAGGUUAUCAGCUGAUUUUUCAGCAGAAACUCUACAGGCCAGAAGGGAGUGGCACAAUAUACUUAAAGUCAUGCAAGGGGGGAACUUACAACCAAGAAUACUCUCCUCAGCAAGGCUCUCGUUCUGACUUGACAGAGAAAUCAGAAGCUUCAUCGAUAAACAAAAGCUGAAAGAUUUCAGCACCACCAAACCAGCUUUAUAACAAAUGUUAAAGGAUCUUCUGUAGUCAUCAAACCAUUAAAAAAAAAGCACAAAAAGAAAGAGGAAAAAAAAGAGACCUACAAAAGAUUGCUUUGGCUGUUCAGGGUCUUUUGUGGUUCCUUACAAAUUUUGGAAUUGUUUGUUCUAGUUCUGUGAGAAAUGUCAUGAGCCUUUUGACGGGGGUUGCGUUGGAUCUGUGGAUUGCUUUGGGUAGUGGGGCCAUUUUGAUAGUGUUGAUUCUUCCAAUCCAAGAGCACAAGAAAUCUUUCCAUUUCUUUGUGUUUUUUCGGUUUUCAGAGUAUAGGUAACCUCCUUGGUUAGGUUUAUCUCUAGGUAUUUUGUUGUUUUUGAUGUAAUGGAAAUGUCUCUGCCAGUUACAAAAUUCUGGUUUUUGAAAUGAAUGAAGGGCCACAAAUGGCAAAAUAUCCUCCUUUUUAAUGGCUGAUCUGAAUUCCAUUCCAUACACACACACACACACACACACACACACACACACACACACACACAGCUGCAUCUCCAUUAUCUAUUCAACUACUGAUGUGCACUUAGGGUGCUUCCAUAUCUUGGCAAUUAUAAAUAAUGUUGCUGUUAAUAGCAGGGUGUAUGUAUCUUUUUGAAUUAAUUCUUAUUUUGUGGUUGGCUUUAUUCCUUUGAUAACUAUGUUAGUUUAAAAAGCUAAAGCUCUGAACAUUCUUAGAAACAAUAAAUAGUAUGUAUAUGUAAGUUAAAAAAUACAUGUGCAGUUAAAAAAAAAGAUCAAGCCAUGAAAGACAUAGAAGAAACUUAAAAGACAUAUUACUAAAUGAAAGAAACCAGUCUGAAAAGGCUACAAACUGUACAAUUCCAACCAAAUGACAUUUGAAAAGGCAAAGCUACAGAAACAAUAAAAAGAUCAUGGUUUCCAGGGGUUUGGGGGGAGGGAGGGAUGAAUAGAUGGAGCACAAGGGAUUUUUAGGGCAAUGAAAUUACUCUGUAUGAUACUACAGGGGUGGCUACAUGUCAUUAUCCAUUUGUCAAAACCCAUAGAAUGUACAUCAAGAGUGAGCCCUAAUGUAAAUUGUGGACUUUGGUUGAUAAUAAUGUGCCCAUGUUGGUUCAUCGAUUGUACCAAAUAUGCCACACUGAUGAGGGAUGCUGAGGGUAGGGGACUAUAUAUGUGUGGGUGGAGCGGGCUAUGUGCAAACUCUGUAUUUUCUGCUCAAUUCUGUUGUGAACCUGAAACUGCUCUAAGAGAAUAAAGUCUAUUAAAAAAAAUGAUAGUAACAACAAAGUA
Camelus dromedarius (Arabian camel) is the source of this 7419-nucleotide RNA transcript. It is a transcript of the gene named apoptotic peptidase activating factor 1, with no coding region annotated. Lineage: Eukaryota; Metazoa; Chordata; Mammalia; Artiodactyla; Camelidae. The record is from RefSeq and is a predicted model, not a curated record. The transcript is spliced from 29 exons.